Molecule: long non-coding RNA, 2464 nt
Organism: Equus caballus (horse)
Lineage: Eukaryota; Metazoa; Chordata; Mammalia; Perissodactyla; Equidae
Source: Ensembl
GUAUUUUCAAGCUUUGUCCACGUGGCAGCAUGUGUCAGUGCUUCAUUCCUUUUCACGGCUGCAUGAUAUUCUACCGUGUGGAUGGACUGCAUUUCUUUAUCUGUUCAUCUGUUGGUGGACAUUUGGGUCCUUUCCACCUUUGGGCUAUUGUGAAUUGUGCUGCCAUGACCUUUUGGGGACAGGUCUCCGUGUGGACGUGCGCCCAGGGGAGGCCCUGCUAGUGCUUGAAUUCGAUCCACAGGGGCCAGGCCAGAGCAGGAGACGGAGAGGAGGCCGGGAAAUCACAGGCAAAAUCUCACUCUGAGGAUGGACUUCUGCACCACGAGGAAGAGCCUGAGGCGGGCAGACCUGCGGGAGCACAGACCCUACAGUGGGCGGACGCAGAGCUGGCCCAGUGUGGCUGCCAGGCCAGGCUCAGGACUGGGGAUGGCACUGUGGGUGGCCGCCCUUGGCCCCGUGGCACUCCCAAUCCCGUCCACACCCAGGGCGUCCUGCGCCCUGCUCUGUGACCCUCCGCCUGGGUGGAGGGGCAGGCCGGGGUCAGUGCCCCGGAGCAGCCCUCAGCCAGCGAACGACAGGGGGCAUCGCAGGAGGAACGGCUCGGCUCCUCUCCCGGGGGGGCUCCCUGGGGGCAGGGCCCCAGGUGUCUGCGUCGGUGGUCUGCUCAGGAAGAGUUCUUUAGUGACAUCCUGGGCUCGCCUCCCCGAAGCUGCUUGCUCUCUGAUCCUUGUCUCAGGUGGAACAACCUGACGCAAGAAUCCUUUUAAAUAUCCACCGGUGUUUUCUCUGGCCGGGCUCUUGGGGUGCUUGCGUCUGACUCAGCACCCGGUGGUUGUCCUGCUGUCUCCUGCACUGCUGGAGCCCCGUUCAUCUGUUGUCGCUGAGACCCUGCAUCUUCUUGCUUCUGUGGGUGAAUCAGGUCCCUGCAUAAAAUUAUCCCACUUUCAGACCUUCGUAUGUCAGAUCUGGCAAACUGGCUUCUGGGUGAAAUUCCUUUGGAUUUGUGCCUGCUUAGCCCUGCUUUGUUUUGGACCAGUUCCUGGCUUUGUGGACAGGCCCCCUGCCUCCCCGCCAGGUGACCUGGAGUGUCAGGAAAUCGGCGCAUUGCACCUUGGAGCUGUUUCCUUCUCCUCCACCACGGCAGAUUAGAAGCGGGACAGCCGGCUCUGGGCCCAGGCUCCGAACAUGCACGCCACGCCACAGUCCCGGGUGCAGUUUGAACAAGACCCAUUGGAUUCAGCGGGAGCAGCAGAGCUCGAGACCGGGUCCUUGGAAAGACUGCUGCGGGCGACGAGCCACCGUCUCAGAGCAUCGGCUGCUGCGAGGUUGCGGGGCUUCCCAAGCCUCCAGUGCGGUCGCCUGGAGAACAGAGAGUUCCUCGGCUCUCUUCUAGGAAGACUUGCCCAGAAGGACGACAACGUUUCCACUGUGGGUCUGUCCUCUGCCUUCACUGAGCUGGAGGCAGAGGGGUUUCAGAACCUCGGGAGUUUAGGUAGGAAAAGUUUCCCCUUCAUUGAAGACACAGACUUGCAAUUUGCUGCCUCAGACUGUUCGUGAUUGUCCGUGGUGGCAGCCGCAUGGCACUGCCUCUGGACCAUCCCGUGAUGCUACAGUCCAUGCCCAGCUCAGGCCUGAUGCCCUUGGAAGGGCUUUCCCUGUUCUUGGAGUCCAGAAGACCCUCACCCCACGGCCCGGGGGCACACAUCAAGGAGGCCGCCUCCCCAGCCCCGGUGCCUCUGUAGCUGCUGGCUCUCAUCCUCCUUAUGGCUCGAAGCACGUGGUGUCUCCUGCUAGGCUGUGGGCUCCUUGAGGCCAGCGGCUUUCUCCACGACGUCCAUUUGCUAUUCUAGUGCUUGGAGCCGUGCAUGAAGCGUCUGCUAAAUUUAUGUGUGUUCUAACGACUUCUUGAGAACAUGAACAUGACAGAUGCUCGAAUGUGGCCCUUGAAGUAACAAGUGACACGAGACAAACCUCCUCUUUCAGGUCUUGUGGGAAACUUGCUGGAGUGUGGAGAAUCCAGAGUUAUAAUCGUGAAGUUUGGAAGCAAAUACUAAAGGGGGGAACCUCACAGCUGUGCUGUACCUCGCUUGGUAAAAUUUCAGCUUCCUGCAAAGCCAUCAGCGAGGCAUUUCAAACAAAUCAAGUGAUAGCUGGCGUAGAUUUGGGGGCCCUUGUUAUCAAAAUCAAUCCUCUGGAUCAUCCUUUUGUAAAGUAUAAAACCAUUCCCAAAAUUAUGUUUUGUGUGAAUUCAAAUGUAAACAUUGGGCUCAUUUAAAUUCAUGUGUUAACCACAUGGCCCAUGAAAAUGAAACCACUGACACCUUUUGGGGAAGAACGAAAGUUGGGUUAUUUUUCCGGUGUGGAGCUGGGUCCUCACGGACGGAGCCUCUGACGCUCCUUGGUUGAGUCUCUGCAUGGCCGGUGGAAGGUGGGUCGGGCGCGGGCGCACACAGACCUGUGGAGC